UCGGGAAUAUUGCGCAAUGGAGGAAACUCUGACGCAGUGACGCCGCGUGCAGGAAGAAGGUUUUCGGAUUGUAAACUGCUUUAGACAGGGAAGAAACAAGACAGUACCUGUAGAAUAAGCUCCGGCUAACUACGUGCCAGCAGCCGCGGUAAUACGUAGGGAGCAAGCGUUAUCCGGAUUUAUUGGGUGUAAAGGGUGCGUAGACGGGAAUGCAAGUUGGUUGUGAAAUCCCUCGGCUCAACCGAGGAGUUGCAACCAAAACUAUAUUUCUUGAGUGCUGGAGAGGAAAGUGGAAUUCCUAGUGUAGCGGUGAAAUGCGUAGAUAUUAGGAGGAACACCAGUGGCGAAGGCGACUUUCUGGACAGUAACUGACGUUGAGGCACGAAAGUGUGGGGAGCAAGCAGGAUUAGAUACCC
Molecule: ribosomal RNA, 416 nt
Filed under: uncultured bacterium
Lineage: Bacteria
Description: bacterial SSU rRNA
Rfam family: Bacterial small subunit ribosomal RNA
Source: RNAcentral